GGAACGAAACGCGCAGGGCGAACAACCUGCGAACUGACGGUACCGGAGGAAUAAGCACGGCUAACUUCGUGCCAGCAGCCGCGGUAAUACGAAGGGUGCAAGCGUUACUCGGAAUUACUGGGCGUAAAGGGUGCGUAGGUGGUUAUUUAAGUCUGCUGUGAAAGCCCCCGGGCUCAACCUGGGAAUGGCAGUGGAGACUGGAUAGCUAGAGUGCGGUAGAGGGUAGUGGAAUUCCCGGUGUAGCGGUGAAAUGCGUAGAGAUCGGGAGGAACACCAGUGGCGAAGGCKGCUACCUGGACCAGCACUGACACUCAAGCACGAAAGCGUGGGSAGCAAACAGGAUUAGAUACCCUGGUAGUCCACGCCCUAAACGAUGCGAACUGGACGUUGGGAGCAACUUGGCUCUCAGUGUCGAAGCUAACGCGUUAAGUUCGCCGCCUGGGGAGUACGGUCGCAAGACUGAAACUCAAAGGAAUUGACGGGGGCCCGCACAAGCGGUGGAGUAUGUGGUUUAAUUCGAUGCAACGCGAAGAACCUUACCUGGUCUUGACAUGUCGCGAAUCCUGCAGAGAUGCGGGAGUGCCUUCGGGAAUGCGAACACAGGUGCUGCAUGGCUGUCGUCAGC
RNAcentral lists this ribosomal RNA (625 nucleotides) under uncultured Gammaproteobacteria bacterium. RNAcentral describes it as "bacterial SSU rRNA". It matches the Rfam family "Bacterial small subunit ribosomal RNA", at positions 442 to 1059 of the family's 1533-position model. Lineage: Bacteria; Pseudomonadati; Pseudomonadota; Gammaproteobacteria. The record is from RNAcentral.